CGAUCCGAUCACAUAGUACGCUUGUAUGUUUGACAGAGUUAGUUGACACUUAAAAAUGACAACUUUUAACAAUGGAUCUCUUGGCUCUUGCAACGAUGAAGAACGCAGUGAAAUGCGAAACGUAAUGCGAUUUGCACGAACCUGUGAGUCAUCAAGUCUUUGAACGCACCUUGCACCGUAUGAGCAAUUGUACGGUAUACCUGUUUGAGAAUCGUAAACCCCCUCACUUACUUGUAAGUGGAGUUGUCGGCUUAUGAGUAAUCAUAUCUGAUCAAAUGGAUUAGGUCUGGAUCAGGCUGGUGGCCUGGGACACUGUGUGCUAGAGACUAGCAAUCUUAACCGAUUGUCUGUCUUCUCACGGUGCGUCCCGGGUCAUUCAAAGCUGGCCUGUUAAGGACCUUAAUUGCGCAUAGCCCUGUGCUAUGGCAACCCCCCUCUUUGAUCUCAAAUCAGGUAAGGCUACCCGCUGAACUUAA
Molecule: ribosomal RNA, 476 nt
Filed under: uncultured fungus
Lineage: Eukaryota; Fungi
Description: eukaryotic LSU rRNA
Rfam family: 5.8S ribosomal RNA (bases 61-214)
Source: RNAcentral